Molecule: ribosomal RNA, 253 nt
Filed under: uncultured bacterium
Lineage: Bacteria
Description: partial 16S ribosomal RNA
Rfam family: Bacterial small subunit ribosomal RNA
Source: RNAcentral
UCCGUAGGGGGCAAGCGUUGUCCGGAUUUAUUGGGCGUAAAGAGCGUGUAGGCGGCCAUACAGGUCCGUUGUGAAAACUGGAGGCUUAACCUCGAGACGUCGAUGGAAACCGUAUGGCUAGAGUCCGGAAGAGGAGAGUGGAAUUCCUGGUGUAGCGGUGAAAUGCGCAGAUAUCAGGAAGAACACCCGUGGCGAAGGCGGCUCUCUGGGACGGUACUGACGCUGAGACGCGAAAGCGUGGGGAGCGAACAGG